This 73-nucleotide transfer RNA is filed under the name Trichonephila inaurata madagascariensis. It matches the Rfam family "tRNA". From Rfam's summary of the family: Transfer RNA (tRNA) molecules are approximately 80 nucleotides in length. Their secondary structure includes four short double-helical elements and three loops (D, anti-codon, and T loops). Lineage: Eukaryota; Metazoa; Arthropoda; Arachnida; Araneae; Nephilidae. The record is from Rfam by way of RNAcentral.
AUCCCCGUAGCGCAAUGGAUAGUGCGUUGAACUUCUAAUCCAAAGAUCGUGGGUUCGAAUUCCACCUGGGAUG